AUUUUGCUUCGUAUGUAGUCACUUGUUAGAAUCUCUAGAAAGACUUAUAUUUAGGAACGGAGGGAGUAUUAGGCAAUUGUAAUGUUUUAUUAAGCUAUGAUCCUAAGCUCCACACUAUGGAACAUUGGAGGCUCUGUAUUUGACUUCCAUGAGCCAUUAGCCAAACUCAUUUUGUGCACUCAUUGGCCGGCUACCUAGUGACUGAAUAGUCUAGCUUGUGUUUCAUGAGAUCAACAAUUCUGGCAGAGGAUCAUUACCGAAAUGGAAAAUAUUAGUAAAUCAUCAUUUCAUCAUCUGGUAUGAUUAUCUAACAUUGAGCUGUGGCAGUUGGCAGCUUUGCAUUCAGGACAGAACUCCUCCAUCCAGAUGAUAGCAACAACGGAAGCAUCUGUCUAUAUAUUUUGAAGGAGCCGUUGUCUACUGCAUUUGACCCACAAAAUGCAAUGGUGUUUCCUCUCAAUAUGUGGACCUUGCCUUGAUUCAGUUCCGGUGCCUGCCUAGUGCCUACAGAAGAACCAACUGUACAAACAUACAUUCUGAAGCUUAAAAUGGCGUCCUACUCUGUGCCCAGUACUCUUAGGAUCGAUGCUGAGUGGAGUGGCAACUGGUUGGCGAACGCUGGUACCCAACACCCCCGACGCCGACAACACCCACUCACCGAUCCCGUCCCACUGUAUCCAGGCCUCCACGGUGCACUUCCCCAGCCCGCCUCCUGCCGUGCGCCGAGGAGUCUGAGGCUGAGCCGGCUCUCCCGUCCCUGGCCAUCUUGUUGUGCACUGCUGGGGGUGGUGAUUGCUGGUGUACGCCUGCAAGGCACCUUCCUCGCAUUCCUCCUCAACGUCCACCGCCACCGCCUGCAGCUGUGCCCUGUGCCGUUCCGCUUACUAUGAGUCGCGUCAACCUUGCCAUCUUCGACCGCGGCAUGGCCUGGGUCCACGUUGCCUGCAGCCCACACCGAGCGGCUCGUCCAUGUCUUCAGUGCGUUCCGCGCUAGCAGGCAGCAGCUGGUUCAUAAUGACUUGAUAAUCUGUCCAGGACUCCGGGAUCGGUGCUGGUAUGUAGUACCUGUUUUCACAUAAUUAACUUCCUAUGCUUUGGUUUCGGUUCAGUAUACCAAAUCCUGCUAUUAACUCAUGAAUAAACCGAAUCUUUCUGCUGCUAGCUAACAGCCUGUUCUGCAUCUACUUUUCAGUUUAGUGGUAAAUGCUUGUAUAUGUACACAACAAAUGGCCGACGCUGACGACGCGCACCAAGCCAUGGCGUCCCACCCCCUCAACGACGCGCUUGCCAUUGCCAGCCUCUUCCUGCAACGCAGAACCAGGCCACCCUCCCAUUCCUCACCGGUGUGCUGUGCCCCAAUGGGCUGGCGUGUGCUGCCACUUCCUCGAUCGAGGCCAACCGCAUCAUCUGCCUUUGGUGUGCGCGCCUGCUAGCCGCGUGCCCUGCUACUCCUCUGUAGUCCCAACUCGUACAUCGACCUUGCCAUCUUCGCCUCCGGCAGGGCAUGUGCCGGCGUAAUUUGGGGACGACGUCGAGCUUCUAUGAAUUCGGCCAAUCCACCAUGGAGCAAGUGAAGCUACGCCCUUACUGCUGUGCGACAAUAUUUCUUGUGCUUCCCAUGAAGUCAUUGCCUUGAUUCAGUUCCUAUAAUUUUUUUCUUCAGUCCAUAUAUAUAUUCUGAAAAUAUCCAAACAUAUAUUCUGAAGCUUAAAGUGGUAUCCUAUUCCGUGUCCAGCGGAGCGGCAUCCUCAAUGUCCACCACGUCCUGUGCCUCGGGUGCCGGUGCACCCCGCGGCGCGCUAGCUGCGUCCUCUGCUCCUCUGCCUACUCCCUCUCUUAGACUCCUACGACAACAGCCUGGGCCAGCAUCGACGGCACCACCUAGGCCAGCAUCGCCGGUGUACUUUGGUGCCGAUGCCGAGCAGCAGCAGCAGGCAGCAACUCCACCAUCCACGCCCUGAUGUGCUGCGCCAGCAGCACCGUAUGUCAAUUUAGCUCCUAAACGGCACGAAACAUAAAUGAAUGGCAUAAUUUAGCUCCAGCGCCAGCAGCACGCUAUGUUACUUGAUAGAC
Triticum aestivum (bread wheat) is the source of this 2073-nucleotide long non-coding RNA. RefSeq lists it as uncharacterized. NCBI's taxonomy places the organism in Eukaryota, Viridiplantae, Streptophyta, Magnoliopsida, Poales, Poaceae. The record is from RefSeq and is a predicted model, not a curated record. The transcript has 4 exons.